RNAcentral lists this ribosomal RNA (406 nucleotides) under uncultured bacterium. RNAcentral's name for it is "partial 16S ribosomal RNA". It matches the Rfam family "Bacterial small subunit ribosomal RNA", at positions 30 to 526 of the family's 1533-position model. The record is from RNAcentral.
AUUGAACGCUGGCGGCAGGCUUAACACAUGCAAGUCGAGCGAGCGGCGGACGGGUGAGUAAUGUCUGGGAAACUGCCUGAUGGAGGGGGAUAACUACUGGAAACGGUAGCUAAUACCGCAUACCAUCAGAUGUUCCCAGAUGGGAUUAGCUAGUAGGUGGGGUAAUGGCUCACCUAGGCGACGAUCCCUAGCUGGUCUGAGAGGAUGACCAGCCACACUGGAACUGAGACACGGUCCAGACUCCGACGGGAGGAAGCAGUGGGGAAGAUUGCACAAGGGGAGCAAGCCUGAUGCAGCCAUGCCGCGUGUGUGAAGAAGGCCUUCGGGUUGUAAAGCACUUUCAGCGAGGAGGCGUUACUCGCAGAAGAAGCACCGGCUAACUCCGUGCCAGCCGCCGCGGUAAUUC